AUUGGACGCUGGCGGCAGGCUUAACACAUGCAAGUCGAGCGGGGUGAUGGUGCUUGCACUAUCACUUAGCGGCGGACGGGUGAGUAAUGCUUAGGAAUCUGCCUAUUAGUGGGGGACAACAUCUCGAAAGGGAUGCUAAUACCGCAUACGUCCUACGGGAGAAAGCAGGGGAUCACUUGUGACCUUGCGCUAAUAGAUGAGCCUAAGUCGGAUUAGCUAGUUGGUGGGGUAAAGGCCUACCAAGGCGACGAUCUGUAGCGGGUCUGAGAGGAUGAUCCGCCACACUGGGACUGAGACACGGCCCAGACUCCUACGGGAGGCAGCAGUGGGGAAUAUUGGACAAUGGGGGGAACCCUGAUCCAGCCAUGCCGCGUGUGUGAAGAAGGCCUUAUGGUUGUAAAGCACUUUAAGCGAGGAGGAGGCUCUCUUGGUUAAUACCCAAGAUGAGUGGACGUUACUCGCAGAAUAAGCACCGGCUAACUCUGUGCCAGCAGCCGCCGUAA
RNAcentral lists this ribosomal RNA (503 nucleotides) under uncultured bacterium. RNAcentral's name for it is "partial 16S ribosomal RNA". It matches the Rfam family "Bacterial small subunit ribosomal RNA", at positions 30 to 523 of the family's 1533-position model. The record is from RNAcentral.